This 377-nucleotide long non-coding RNA is filed under the name Ananas comosus (pineapple). Its description in RNAcentral is "long non-coding RNA (ACOM_LNC041302)". Lineage: Eukaryota; Viridiplantae; Streptophyta; Magnoliopsida; Poales; Bromeliaceae. The record is from RNAcentral.
AUUUUUUUUUUUAACUUUAGAAAUAAAAACAAUUAGAAAUGUAAAGCAAUAAAGUUUUGACCUUAAAAUCUUUGAGUAUCCAAUAAUAAAAAAAAAUCCUUAGCCAGGAAUGUUAGGGUUUAGGUUUUAGGUUUUAGGGUUAGGGUUUAGAUUUUAGGAUUUGGGCCUGGAAGUGGUCGGCGAAUCGGAGCUAGACUUGAUCUAGCCUAUUAAUAGAAAGUGUACUUAGUAAAACGUGUCGGACCAUUUGGUUAACACCGGUUCUCCUUCCAUCUCCUAUAACACAACAACCUCUCGACCAAUGAUCUAGUUUAGCGCACAACCUUUUUUUUCUCUGUGAACCCCCACAUCCACAACUAUUGACAAUUUUUUAAAUA